GAUGAACGCUAGCGACAGGCUUAACACAUGCAAGUCGAGGGGCAGCACAAGGUAGCUUGCUAUCUGGGUGGCGACCGGCGCACGGGUGCGUAACGCGUAUGCAACUUGCCCUAUACAGGAGGAUAACCCGUCGAAAGACGGACUAAUACUGCGUAUGCUCACAACUUGGCAUCAAGUGGUGAGGAAAGAAAUUCGGUAUAGGAUAGGCAUGCGUCCCAUUAGCUUGUUGGUGAGGUAACGGCUCACCAAGGCAACGAUGGGUAGGGGAACUGAGAGGUUUAUCCCCCACACUGGUACUGAGACACGGACCAGACUCCUACGGGAGGCAGCAGUGAGGAAUAUUGGUCAAUGGGCGCGAGCCUGAACCAGCCAAGUCGCGUGAAGGAUGACUGUCUUAUGGAUUGUAAACUUCUUUUAUACGGGAAUAACAAGAGUCACGUGUGACUCCCUGCAUGUACCGUAUGAAUAAGCAUCGGCUAACUCCGUG
RNAcentral lists this ribosomal RNA (487 nucleotides) under uncultured bacterium. Its description in RNAcentral is "partial 16S ribosomal RNA". It matches the Rfam family "Bacterial small subunit ribosomal RNA", at positions 28 to 507 of the family's 1533-position model. The record is from RNAcentral.